AGCAGCCGCGGUAAUUCCAGCUCCAAUAGCGUAUAUUAAAGUUGUUGCAGUUAAAAAGCUCGUAGUUGAAUUUCGGGAUUAGUACGUUGGUCGUGCCUUAGGUACGUACUGGUGUUACUGGUUCCUACCUUCUGACGAACCAUCAUGUCAUUAAUUUGGUGUGGCGGGGAAUCAGGACUGUUACUUUGAAAAAUUAGAGUGUUUAAAGCAGGCUCGCGCUUGAAUACAUUAGCAUGGAAUAAUGAAAUAGGACGUUGACCCUAUUUUGUUGGUUUCUAGGAUUGACGUAAUGAUUAAUAGGGAUAGUUGGGGGCAUUAGUAUUCAAUUGUCAGAGGUGAAAUUCUUGGAUUUAUUGAAGACUAACUACUGCGAAAGCAUUUGCCAAGGAUGUUUUCAUUAAUCAAGAACGAAAGUUAGGGGAUCGAAGACGAUCAGAUACCGUCGUAGUCUUAACCAUAAACUAUG
Molecule: ribosomal RNA, 466 nt
Filed under: uncultured Glomus
Lineage: Eukaryota; Fungi; Glomeromycota; Glomeromycetes; Glomerales; Glomeraceae
Description: SSU rRNA
Rfam family: Eukaryotic small subunit ribosomal RNA
Source: RNAcentral